UACGGAAGGUCCGGGCGUUAUCCGGAUUUAUUGGGUUUAAAGGGAGCGUAGGCCGCGCCUUAAGCGUGUUGUGAAAUCCGGGUGCUCAACAUCCGGCUUGCAGCGCGAACUGGGGCGCUUGAGUGCGCAGAAAGUAGGCGGAAUUCGUGGUGUAGCGGUGAAAUGCUUAGAUAUCACGAGGAACUCCGAUUGCGAAGGCAGCCUACUGUAGCGCUACUGACGCUGAUGCUCGAAAGCGUGGGUAUCGAACAGGAUUAGAAACCCUGGUAGU
RNAcentral lists this ribosomal RNA (271 nucleotides) under uncultured bacterium. RNAcentral's name for it is "partial 16S ribosomal RNA". It matches the Rfam family "Bacterial small subunit ribosomal RNA", at positions 524 to 794 of the family's 1533-position model. The record is from RNAcentral.